Molecule: non-coding RNA, 95 nt
Filed under: Ctenophora environmental sample
Lineage: Eukaryota; Metazoa; Ctenophora
Source: RNAcentral
CCAAGAACAGAGCAGAACCUUCAAGGGGUUAUUUAUUUAUUACAAACACGAUAAAAAUACAGAGGAGUUGAAAUGAAAAAAAAAAAAAAAAAAAA